Molecule: ribosomal RNA, 433 nt
Filed under: uncultured bacterium
Lineage: Bacteria
Description: partial 16S ribosomal RNA
Rfam family: Bacterial small subunit ribosomal RNA
Source: RNAcentral
AGCGAACGCUGGCGGCAGGCCUAACACAUGCAAGUCGAACGAACUCUUCGGAGUUAGCGGCGGACGGGUGAGUAACACGUGGGAACGUGCCUUUUGGUUCGGAAUAACUCAGGGAAACUUGUGCUAAUACCGAAUGUGCCCUUCGGGGGAAAGAUUUAUCGCCAUUAGAGCGGCCCGCGUCUGAUUAGCUAGUUGGUGAGGUAACGGCUCACCAAGGCGACGAUCAGUAGCUGGUCUGAGAGGAUGACCGGCCACACUGGGACUGAGACACGGCCCAGACUCCUACGGGAGGCAGCAGUGGGGAAUCUUGCGCAAUGGGCGAAAGCCUGACGCAGCCAUGCCGCGUGAAUGAUGAAGGUCUUAGGAUUGUAAAAUUCUUUCACCGGGGACGAUAAUGACGGUACCCGGAGAAGAAGCCCCGGCUAACUUCGUG